GACGAACGCUGGCGGCGUGCUUAACACAUGCAAGUCGAGCAAGGCCCGCUCUUCGGGGUGGUGCCCUAGCGGCGAACGGGUGAGUAACACGUGGGCAACCUGCCCUCAGCUCUGGGAUAACUCCAAGAAAUUGGUGCUAAUACCGGAUGUGACCGCUGACCGCAUGGUCUGGUGGUGGAAAGAUUCAUCGGCUGAGGAUGGGCCCGCGGCCUAUCAGCUUGUUGGUGGGGUGAUGGCCUACCAAGGCGACGACGGGUAGCCGGCCUGAGAGGGUGACCGGCCACACUGGGACUGAGACACGGCCCAGACUCCUACGGGAGGCAGCAGUGGGGAAUAUUGCGCAAUGGGCGAAAGCCUGACGCAGCGACGCCGCGUGGGGGAUGACGGCCUUCGGGUUGUAAACCUCUUUCAGUAGGGACGAAGCGGAAGUGACGGUACCUACAGAAGAAGCACCGGCCAACUACGUGCCAGCAGCCGCGGUAAUACGUAGGGUGCAAGCGUUGUCCGGAAUUAUUGGGCGUAAAGAGCUCGUAGGCGGUCUGUCGCGUCGGCUGUGAAAACCCGAGGCUCAACCUCGGGCCUGCAGUCGAUACGGGCAAACUAGAGUGUUGCAGGGGAGACUGGAAUUCCUGGUGUAGCGGUGAAAUGCGCAGAUAUCAGGAGGAACACCGGUGGCGAAGGCGGGUCUCUGGGCAACAACUGACGCUGAGGAGCGAAAGCGUGGGGAGCGAACAGGAUUAGAUACCCUGGUAGUCCACGCCGUAAACGUUGGGCGCUAGGUGUGGGGGCCAUUCCACGGUCUCCGUGCCGCAGCUAACGCAUUAAGCGCCCCGCCUGGGGAGUACGGCCGCAAGGCUAAAACUCAAAGGAAUUGACGGGGGCCCGCACAAGCGGCGGAGCAUGUUGCUUAAUUCGAUGCAACGCGAAGAACCUUACCUAGGCUUGACAUGCACGGGAAUCUGUCAGAGAUGGCAGGUCCUUUGGGGUCGUGCACAGGUGGUGCAUGGUUGUCGUCAGCUCGUGUCGUGAGAUGUUGGGUUAAGUCCCGCAACGAGCGCAACCCUCGUUCUAUGUUGCCAGCGGGUAAUGCCGGGGACUCAUAGGAGACUGCCGGGGUCAACUCGGAGGAAGGUGGGAAUGACGUCAAAUCAUCAUGCCCCUUAUGUCUAGGGCUGCAAACAUGCUACAAUGGCCGGUACAAAGGGCUGCGAUACCGUGAGGUGGAGCGAAUCCCAAAAAGCCGGUCUCAGUUCGGAUUGGGGUCUGCAACUCGACCCCAUGAAGUUGGAGUCGCUAGUAAUCGCAGAUCAGCAACGCUGCGGUGAAUACGUUCCCGGGCCU
This 1341-nucleotide ribosomal RNA is filed under the name uncultured bacterium. RNAcentral describes it as "bacterial SSU rRNA". It matches the Rfam family "Bacterial small subunit ribosomal RNA", at positions 28 to 1381 of the family's 1533-position model. The record is from RNAcentral.